Molecule: small nuclear RNA, 103 nt
Organism: Dendrobium catenatum
Lineage: Eukaryota; Viridiplantae; Streptophyta; Magnoliopsida; Asparagales; Orchidaceae
Source: RefSeq, a predicted model, not a curated record
GUUUGUCUCUUCAUAGAUACAAUAAAUUUGGAACGAUGCAUAAGAUUUGCAAGUCAUUUGCGCAAGAAUGACAUGCAUAAAUUGAGAAAUGGCCUAAAUUUUU